This 1629-nucleotide long non-coding RNA is filed under the name Manihot esculenta (cassava). Its description in RNAcentral is "long non-coding RNA (MESC_LNC004302)". The stretch from base 333 to 531 matches the Rfam family "MIR159 microRNA precursor family". The record is from RNAcentral. Lineage: Eukaryota; Viridiplantae; Streptophyta; Magnoliopsida; Malpighiales; Euphorbiaceae.
AAAAAAUAUAAAUAGUUGUAUAAAAUAUCACCAUAUCAGUUUACCACCGUUAUGGUGCAACAAUUUACUCCAUCCAAUAAAGUAUUUCUCUAUCUUGUUCAAUAAUUUCCUUGCAUAAUACUACCAAUAUUACUCUAAGCAGAUCAUGGCAUAAAAUGGAAUAGCCAUUGUCGCUGCUUUUAUGAGAACUUCGUUGCUCCCUUGAGAUAUGUUACUUUAGCCUCUGUACAAAGGAUAGUUUGAUGUAAACACCUGACCAAAAGAAAAAAUCAAAUGCGAACAGGAGAGAGAAAAUAGCUGAUCAAUUACUCUUCUUAUAUUCAAAUGAAGGCAAUAGAAAGGAGGAGCUCCCUUCAGUCCAAGCACAGAAAAAGAGGGAUGCAAAAUUAUCUCCCGCAUCAUUCACACAACCACAGUAGCUAAAAUAGUAACUCUUUGUCUACUAGUGCUCAAAUGAAUGAGUCGGCAGAUAGUUCAGCCCCUUUAACCCCAUCCAUGAGUGGGCUGAAGGAAGCUCUCUCAAACCAUUUCUCCAUUCGACCCUAUCUGACUAGAAAACAACUUUCUUCAACUGCAGUUGUCACUCCAGCCAUGAUGAUGAAGUGAUGAUAAUGUAUGGAUUAACUAAUUUUGUUUAUAUUCAUGAACCCGUGGCCAUUAAAUCAUCACAUGUAAUAAACAAUUUGACGUAUCAAAAGAGAAGAAGGGCCAAACUAGAUAUCCGAAAUAUUCAAAGGAGUUCUCAUUUCCUGAUGAAGCGCAAAAUUAUUGUCAUCAGUAUACAGAUAAACGAAAAACUAUACUGCUUAACAAAAACAACACGGAAAGUAACGUUAGAGAUUUCCAAAUUAUUAAAAUUAUAAAUAAAAGCAAAGAAAAUUGCGUUCUUGCUCUUGUUAUGUUCCCAUGUUCGUAUAUGAUGGAAGGUAUUGUGUAUAACUGAGAAACAAAUUUCAAACUCUUAAAGUCUAGUGAAAAGUCGGCAUCAUCAAGAACAAAAACUUGAAUAUUUCCUGUCAAUAUACACACUAAAAUUGAGUAAUUGAAACUUCCCAAGCAUAUACUAUAACUUACAAAUACCUCAGAAGUUGUAAGAGAGGAUUAAGGGAUAUCUACUAUUCCGCAUAUAUAGACAAAAAGAUUGGAAACCCUACAGUAGCAAAACUGUUUUUGCUUCUUUUCUAUUAGGCAGAGGGAUUCUAUAUAACUUUAGAAGAAGUUAAAUCUGUUUUAUUCUUUCAGAGAAGAUCGAUUUAAAGAUUAAGAUUAAAGAAACUUAACAUCAAGGCAAUGUUAAAGUAAAAGAUUGUAGCGGGAAGGGAAAAUGGAUAGAGAAUUGAAGGAGCUGUCCAAUGGACAACUGGAUUUACCUUGGAAUUCUUGGCAAGUAUAAUCCCAUAGAGCAGCUUGUAUAUCCUCCGGACCCAAAAAAUGGGGGGAAAACCUGUAAAUAUGAUCUAAUCAUGGAGUGCAUACACAGAGAAGUGUGUACAUAUAUAUAUAUAUAUAUAUAUAUAUAUAUAUAUAUAUAUACAAAUAUUCAACCUAGUAUAUUAUGAACAUAUAGCUAUGAAACCUUAAACAAAGCAAUAUAAUUGCAACAUUGUUCAAAGGGCAUUGGAAAGAAAG